GACGAACGCUGGCGGCGUGCUUAACACAUGCAAGUCGAACGCUGAAGCUCAGCUUUUGUUGGGUGGAUGAGUGGCGAACGGGUGAGUAACACGUGAGUAACCUGCCCCCUUCUUUGGGAUAACGCCCGGAAACGGGUGCUAAUACUGGAUAUUCACUGGUCUUCGCAUGGGGGUUGGUGGAAAGGGUUUUUCUGGUGGGGGAUGGGCUCGCGGCCUAUCAGCUUGUUGGUGGGGUGAUGGCCUACCAAGGCUUUGACGGGUAGCCGGCCUGAGAGGGUGACCGGUCACAUUGGGACUGAGAUACGGCCCAGACUCCUACGGGAGGCAGCAGUGGUGAAGAUUGCACAAUGGGCGCAAGCCUGAUGCAGCGACGCCGCGUGAGGGAUGGAGGCCUUCGGGUUGUGAACCUCUUUCGCUCAUGGUCAAGCCGCAACAAUGGUUGUGGUGAGGGUAGUGGGUAAAGAAGCGCCGGCUAACUACGUG
This 483-nucleotide ribosomal RNA is filed under the name uncultured bacterium. RNAcentral's name for it is "partial 16S ribosomal RNA". It matches the Rfam family "Bacterial small subunit ribosomal RNA", at positions 28 to 507 of the family's 1533-position model. The record is from RNAcentral.